This is a long non-coding RNA of Myotis daubentonii (Daubenton's bat), 12453 nucleotides long. RefSeq lists it as uncharacterized. The record is from RefSeq and is a predicted model, not a curated record. Lineage: Eukaryota; Metazoa; Chordata; Mammalia; Chiroptera; Vespertilionidae.
UUUUGUUUUUUUUUUUUUGUUUUCUCCUCACCUGAGGAUAUUUUUCCCAUUGCUUUUCAGAGAGAGUGGAAAGGAGGGAGGAGGAGGAGAGAUGACGAGAGAGAGAGAGAGAGAGAGAGAGAGAGAGAGAGAGAGAGAGAGAUCAACUGAUUGCCUCCCUCACAUGAGCCAGGGAUUGAACCCGCAACCCAGGUACGUGCCCUUGUCUGGGAAUUGAACCCCAGAGCCUUCGAUGCACAGGCUGGCACGGUAACCAUGGAGCAACCCUGGCCAGGGCAAGGUAUGUACUUCUUAAUGGCCUCUCCUUUAACUUGAGGGCUGUGUGACAGGUUAAAGCAGGCUUUUCCAACAACCCCAAAUAUAAAGGGUCCUUACCGGCAGAGGCUAUUCAGUACCACAGCCACCAGCUGAGAAACAUCCUAGGGUCAAGCAGAUGAGGCAACUCAAACAUCACACAAAGUGCACCCCUUCCAGGUAGCCUCGGAGGCCCCUGAGUGCCGGCUUCCUAGGAACACAGCUUGGUGGUUGCAAUCCCAGUGCUCUCAGGGCUCAAGCAGGUCUUGUGGGUGGAGCGCAGUGGAACUUUCCUGUGUUGGAAAGAGGGGCUGGGCAGGAGGUGGGCAAGAUCCUCAGGUCUUCCCGGAGAAGUUGGAAAUGUGGAAUUUUAGGGAGAGUCUCCCAUCUCUCAAACAUCGGGAUCAAUUCAGACUUUUUGAGGGCCAAAGCCAACAUGCCUGUUAGCCAAAAUCAGCUUGCAGGAAUCUAGUUUGUGACCUCUGGUUUAAGGCAUGUUGAUAAAUGGAUUUAUUGGUAGUUCACUAAAUGGAAUCUGGGAUUUAUUUUAUUUUGGGGGGUAAGAUCAUAACUCACAAAAAGAAGUUACUUAUUCAUCAUUACUCAAGAGUUUGUUCAUCUUGCAAAAUAUGGGAAAUGUUGCUCUCUUGGGGCACAUGAUGCACGGUAGAGACAUCCGCGGGUUGGUAAUAUUUGCCGGGAUGGAUGGGAUUGUAGAAACAUGUUCUUUAAUGAACAGUUUUUGGUCUCCGUGUCCAGUUGUCUGAAAUUGCAAGGGAUUUCCUAAGUGGAGCAGUAGCAUGUAUGAGCAGGGGCCAUGAACUGAGGCCUACUCUCUGUAUUAUUCCAUUGAUCAGCCAACUUUUAGUCAAAGAAGUAGAAUCAUAGUGAGUGUGAUGGGAUUAAGGGAUUUACUCUAGAGAUCGGGUCUUCCUCAAAUAUGAGAGGGGCUGGGGAAGUGAAGGUCUUACAGAGCGGGAAGAGGGGGACGAGGAGUCAGAGGAUGAGAGGAUGUCUCCCUGGAGGCCACCAAAUAGGGUCCAGAGGAGGAAGCACAGGAGAGGUAUGUUUCCACCUCUACAGUCAGUAACCACGUGUCUAGCGGUGGGGCUGGGGCUACUGUUGGUCAGCAGGGUCACUAAUUGGGAAGACAAGGGGGUGUGUGCCUAAGUAAGCAAGGACAAAUGGAGAUUCACUGGGCACUUUCCACUUGUCCAUUGACCUUCUUACAGUUACAGACUGGACUUCACUUCUACUUUCCAAAUCUGGCACAAGCUCUUCAUAUGACCAACUGUGACUGGACCACAAGGGCAAGGGUAUUCUGUUAAACGGGAGUUCCCAGCUACCACGUUGACAGUAGUAACAUCAGUAUGCUCAAUGACCAAGAAUGACUGCAUCCGUAGGACUGUGCUACUGAGAAUUCCUGGAUUUUCUCCUCUGCCCUUAAAAGACUUCUUCCCACUCUGAAUCAUGGGACUGAAAUAACAGGAUUUGGGAAUCUUGCCUUGGCCAGGCCAAAAAUCACUGAGAGGCGAUUGUGCCCAGGAAGCAAACUGAAUUUACAGGAUGCUUCAGAGAUUUCAAAAAGGACCAAUCUCAAAACUGCAUGCUAACACGUGAACUGAGUUCAUUUUACUUAAUCAUGGCUGCAAUGCAUGGAUUAUUCUUUCUCUGCCAGUGUUGAUGGCAGGAGUUUCUUUACAUUCUUUCUGUGUGGUGUGAUGGAGAAGACGCUUGGCUUAUGAGCUAGGAAUGAGGUUUUAAACAACAUGAAGCAACACAGAACAUUUUCCCAUCAAAUUCAGAGUAGCAUAAUCUCCCUUCCUGGUUUUCACAUUUUGAAAUGGUUAAAAAACACACAGAGAAGAAUGUUUAUUCAUGUGAAAAUGAUAUGAAAUUCAAAUGUCAGUGUCCAUCAAUAAAGUUUUAUUGGAACCCAACCGCAUUCAUUCAUUCGCUUCUUAUCUCUGGCUGAUCUCCCCCCACAGUGGCAGAGUUGAGUCAUUGCAGUAGACACUGGUCCGCAAAGCUUGGAAUGUCUCCUAUCUGGUUCCUUACCAGAAAGUUUGCUUCCCCGAGGUGGGAGGCAGGCCGAGACUUGCGAACUAUCAGUAAGCGAAAGAGCGAUUUCCUCAAAGGUGCAAGGAUUACAGAUUGUUCUACUUCAGGACAAAAUGGUGAGGGCAAAAAUGCAAUGACAUAAAACAUAUAUAAUACUUUAUAUAGGUUUACCAUGUAUGUAUGGCUAAAGUGGAAUAAUCUGAAAUAAUAGUAGAAAAUGUCCUUUUCAAAGCCUGACAGUCACUAAGAACUAGGAGCUCCCUUCACACUCCCAGCCUCCUCCUUCCUUUAUCCAGUGUCUUUCCUUCCUUCCCAGGGCUAGUGGCGUUCAGCCCCGAGGGCAGCAAACUGUCACUUUACCUUGAGGUGAAUAAGUAGGCAGAAUUGGUCGUGACUUUGAAUGAAAAGCACACCAGACAGAUUGCAGUCCGUGGACCUUGGGAGGAACUGCUGGGCGAGAGGAACAUGGAGCAUUGACCUGUGGUGGGGGGUGUCACACGUGACACUAAGCGGACAGUGAGGGGGCUCCUGCCACCACAUGGCCAGCUCCACCUGCAGGGCUGUGUUUUUUCCCCCUUCACACACUUCUGGGUCACCUCACGUGGGUGCUUUCUAAACUGCCAACCCAGCGGCCAAAAAGAAAUACAAAGCUUCGCAUGAAGAUGAAGGCUCUUUGGCAAGGUCUUCCUCUGUCACGUAGCGAGCACGGCAAACAGAGAACUCCCUUCUUUUGGACGUAAGUUACAAUAUUUCCCCCCUCUUUUAUUACUUUCAAAGCUGGCAGCCUCAUAAGAGCAGCAUUCAAAUAGACUGCGAGAGGGACACGGCGUCGUGAAUGGGGUGUUUCUUGUCCUCCUGGCCCCCUUCCCUUUGUGCUGUCCCCGCACCGUGUAUUCACCACCUUGCGAGGUCGGAACUUUGCCAGUAACUGGAUUCUGGACCUUGUGGGUCCCUCUCUGAAUCUGCUGCUUGCCCAGUGAAAUGAGUUAAUCUCUUCUGUUUGUAGAAUAAAUCUAAUCAACUUGUUUUAGACUCAUUUAGAUGAUUCGUAUAUGUGGUCACUCACCUAAGCAAACGGGGGGGUCAUGCUGAUGCUGUGUACUCAUUACAGUUUGGGGUUUAAUGUGAAAUUUACCCACAUUGAUGAACGAUGUGCCUAGUUGGCCUUUUACGUUUUUUGCAGUUUUUUUUUUUUUUUAAAAGCUCUACUUUCGUAUCUUUCUCCUUUUUAAAAAUAUUUUCACAUGACCUUCCAGCCUGAAGCAGUUGGCUGUAAAGUGGUGGGGGUGUCACGCUGAACCUUUUAUAGCUUGGAUUUUUUUUUUUUUUUGGAAGAGUGGAUAACAGCUUUAGUUCUUCUUAUUGGCUUAUGAUAGUCUGGAAUUAUUUUAUAGAUUGUGUUCAGCUGCCAGCAUGGCGCUUGGCGAGAUUAAUUUGUGCAGCUUUCCAUUGGCUGAAUAGUAUUCAUUCUUCGGAUUCUUGUUCAGAAGGGAUUAGCCAAGUGAACUGGGAAACGUGCCUUUGCGGCAGAGUUUUCGCUGGUUGUGAUAAUCAAUGAACAAUCUGGUGGCUGAUUUAAUUCAAUUCUUACAGAACUAGCUGACUCAUUGGCUCUUAAUGCUUCUUAACUUCUGUAGUGUUUUCAUCUUCCGUUUCUUGCACAUAUAUCAGCAUCAUAGUGGACAACAUUGUUCAGAACUGAACAUUCCCCCUGGGGACCUGGCUCAGGUACUCAGCAUACAUAUCUUAUGAAAUGAGAUUCAAGGAAGUUGUUUUGGGCUGUCUGUGUUUGCUGCCUUUCUUCUAUGGGGAAAUAUUGCUUUGAAAAGGAAAAAUGAAUUUACUUUUUUUUUUUGUAAAGGGAGGGUUAAAACAAAAUUAAAAAUAAGACACGUGACAUCUUAGAGACCUGUAAAGGCGUAGAACUUUCAAAGCAUGGCUUUGGUAUUGCAUUAUUGAUAGGGCUAAAUAAUGUAUAGUGACGCCUGUGCCCUGUGGGGUGGUCACAGCCUGUUCUACCAAGAGGCCAGGUUUCUGUACAGAUCUACAGUUCAGCUUUGUGUAUCAGGGAAGUGACUGCAAAAGAGAGGGGUGAGUUUAGGAAAACUUUCCCCCUUCUUUGUUUUUCAAUUGUUUCCUCCUGGGCUUUGUUCAUCUGAACAAUGCAUUGACUUGCUUGAUGUAGGGGAGCUGGCUGCUUGCUUAUAAAUUGCAGUAAACAUGUCUUUUGGCUACCUGGGAGCAGAGGAGUAAAGGUCUCAGAUACUGGUAUGCGUGUAUAUAUCUUCCCAGCCUCAGUUUUAGCCUAAAUUUAAAUGACAGGUAAAUCUUGGGUUGCAAGAUUUAAUAAAUACAGGGUGGGCAGGUACAUUUGAAUUUCAGAUACACAGUGAAUGAUUUUUUUCAAAAAGUUUAUUUUUUAUUGAUUUCAAAGAGGAAGGGAAGAGGAGAGAGAGAUAGAAACAUCAAUGAUGAGAGAGAAUCAUUGAUUGGUUGCCUCCUGCAUGCGCCCCCUCCCCGCCACGGGAUUGAGCCCACAAUCUGGGCAUGUGCCCUUGACCAGAAUCGAACCUGGGACCCUUCAGUCUGCAGGCAGAUGCUCUAUCCACUGAGCCAAUCCGGCUAGGACCACAGGGAAUAAUUUUUAAAUACUUAAGUAUGCCCCUGUAUUUUAUCUGGCAACCCUAGGUACUAGUAAGUGUCAAGAGAGCCAGGAUUCUCUAUCCUGAGGGCACUCAAGUUAAAUCAGAGAUAAUUGUGAGUGGGAUGGAAGAAUGGGAGAGUGCCAUUUAUUAAGCAUUUUUCAUAUCAAGUCCUUUGUAUUUAGUCCUCCGCUUGUGAGGUGUGCAUUGUAAAUCCUUUAUACCUUGGAGGGUAAAAGUAACUAGCAUGUAAUGAGUGCCUUCCAUGUGCUGGGCACUGUUCUAAGAACUUAGAUGUUUUCAGUGCUGAAAAUAACCCGAUGAAGGUUAAGUACUAUUAGGAUUUCUUUUUAACAGACCUGGUGGGUGCAAACCGAGCUGAGGUCGUUUUCGAUGGCUAAGGGACUGUUUGGGGCUGAAGAACAAGGAUGCAUGGGAGUAUCUCACCUAAGGUCACAGAGUUAGAAAUUAGUGUAGCCAGAAUUCCAGUGCUGGUCCCUUCACUCCAGCAGUGUUUUGCUGCAUCUUUGAAGCCCCUGGGGGAGCUAUAACCGCCCCCCCCUCCGCUCCCCCCCUCCCCCUGAGACCUGGGCUCACCCCCAGAGUUGGGUUUCCCUGACCCGAGAGUGGCUUGGCCAUCCGAUUUUUAAAGCCUCCCCAGGCGAUUCUAAUGUGCAGCCCUGGUGGAAGGUGGCUGCUUUGCCCCUUUCUUGGAGGAAAACAGAUUAGUCUCUGGGAAAUCGAGUCGCUCUAUGUGGCCAUCCCUCCCCCUCCUCCCCAGAAACGCACCAUUCCAAAUCUGGCAGCUAAUUCUUCAUGGUCUUUGUUUCCUCAAAAUUAUUUUCAGGAAGUCCUGGUGAAUAUAUGUUGGGGGCUAAACAAACCACAAAAAAAAAGAACUCUUGGGGGUAUUCUGUUGAUGUAUUUUCUGAGCCGUCUUUUCAUUCCCAAUCCUCCCUUAUGCUUCCUGGAGGAGGGAAUGGCCUUUUGUUCUUCAUUUCGCUCCAGCUGGGCACCAGGCUGGGUGUCAGAGGAGGUUUCCAGAUGAAGAAAACUAGAGCCCUCCCCUCCAGGAGUUUUCAAUCUUGGAAGGGAAGUAUAUCUGUGUAAUUCUAGGUUUAAUUUUCUGAAACUCACUUCCGAGGAGUGCCAAGUAUGAAGUAAUUCAGAGGUGGCAGAGGCAGGGGAAGUGGCGCGGACAGGGCCCCUGCUGUCCGCAGUCUUGGUUUGAAUGCCUGCCCCGCCUCUAUCCCCUGUCCUCUCUGCCUCCAUGCCCGCCUUGGCAUGGGGGGCAUGCUAGUCCUUUGAUGGGAGGCCAGAGUCCAUUAGUGCCAGUGGACUGCACACAGCUGGCCCCGCCCAGGGUAUAGGCCGGUCAGCGUGAGCUGCAGCUUCUAUGCCUCUCUUAGUUUUCCAGAGGCCUUACUGACACGGAUGGUCCUAGUGGGUGACUGCGCUUUAGCGAGUGUUCCUUGAACUCACAGGAUCAAGGAUUUUCCUGAAUUGGUAGCCCCUGAGGAGUCAGGGAGGUGUGUGAAUGGGAAACCAAACACUUCUAGAAGAAUACGUGUGGCCCAUGGGAACUGAAAUGGGAUACCAUGGGACCCCCAGACUCUGGCUUGGAUAAGCCAGGAAGAAUGGGGGCCUUAACGAGCUUGAAGGCCACAGAAAUAGAAGGAGAGGAAGGCCUUUGGUGCAGGGUCUCCGGUCGGUAUUACAUAUGGUGCCUGAGGGGGAAAGAGGGAGACUGAGCCUGUCUUGAUGGUGACAUUCACAGAUGGAUGACACAGGAGAGGCUAAUUGUUAAAGGGGAAAUGAUGAUGAAUUGGGUUCUGGGCAAAGUUAUAGCGCAGCCUUCAUCGAAGGCAAAGCAGUGCCACAUUCCUCAUUAUUAUGCACAUGCUGUGAUUACACAUUUGGGGAUAAUGUAGAAUCUCUCCCUAACUUCCCCUCGCUUAAGAGCGCGAAUGAAGGAAGGUUCGCACCACUACUACCAUCCCAUCUGUCCUUUGUGGUGAACUUGUGCUUUCUUCUCUGAGUUUGUUUAGGUCUAAGUAUAAUACUUUGCAUAGGAAAUCGAUAAAUCUUCUAUUAUUGUUUGACCGAUGGGGCAAUUUCUUUAUUACCAGACAGUUCUGCAAGCAAUAAAUACUUCUAAUAUCCUGAGUAUAUUUAUUCCUAAAUGGGAGUUAGAGUAAUGAGGCAUUUACUAAUGCCAGGCUCAACUUAUAAUUCAGAAACAGACAGCAGAUGACUCGCACUGUUCCCACUCUCGAUUUUUAAGGUCAUGGGAAAGCUUUCGUUUUUUUGUUGCGAGCUCAAUACUUUGUGCACGACGUGUUGGGCCUUUUAGAAGAUCGCUAACACUUAAACAUGUUAUCUUUGCCAGUGUAGCCUGGGCCAGGGGUUGGCACACUUUUUCUGUGAAGAGCCAGAUAGUAAAUAUUUUAGGCUCUAUGGGCCAUACAGUCUCUGUCGCAAUGACUCAGCUUUGCUGUCAUCACAAGAAAACAGCCAUAGACAGUGUGUAAACAAAUGAGCUCUGCUAUGUUCCAGUAAAAGUUUGUUUAUGUAAGUGUGCCAUAGUCUGGAUUCGGCCCUCAGGCCGUAGCUUUCUGACUCCUUGGGUGACAGUAUGUGGGCCGUGGGGACAACAACUGUUGGUUUGAUUGGCCAGUUCUCAGCUGUGUGACAUAUCCACUCUGAUCUCUAAUAUUUCUCAGCUUUAAAGUGGGAUCAAUAGAAAAACCAGCAUUCUGAGGACUAUUUUGAUAUUAAGUGAGAUCACACCAGUGGUUUUGCAUAAUGACCAGCACAUGGGAAGGGCACAGAAAACGUUAGGUAAAGGCAAAAAACGACAACGUUCCUGUUUGUUCUGCAUCAUUUAAUAAUCCUGAUAUUCGAUUGCAGUCAUUUUAAGGUAAGGAGAGAUAGUGAGGCCAAAUUUUUGAAAGACCUCAUAGGUUCAGAAUGUGUACAGUGAACAUAUGUAAACUAGUUACCUGGUUUUUAACAGGCUAGAAAAAGUUGAUGAGAUCGUGGGAAGCUCCAUGUAGCUGAUAGUGUUUAUUCACCAGGAAGUUUUUUUUCUCAAAAAUUAUGUCAUUCCCUUUCUGGAAGUGAGUUAGACUUCAACCUAUUUUUUGCCAUAAAUAGGGGCUCUUCUGCCCCCAAAUAGCAGAAGUGUAAGGACUAAAAGGUUUUUUUCUGGAUAUGAAACGUAACAAGCACUUAUUGAGCGCCUGCUGUGUGCACAUUAUGUGAAGUGUCACUACUGCAGAGGAAGUCUCAUUAAUCAUGUGUGAGAAAUGGCUCACCUGUCCAAAUUUCAAAUGACGGACUGGGAAACAGAAACAUGGCAAAAAUGAGACUUUUAAUAACACUCUCAAGAGCGGGCAUCCAUUAUACAGGCACACGUGUGGGGCAGGGAACAUAGCCUAUUUAUUUAGUCCCUCUUCUGGUUCUUCAUUGGCUGAGUACUAUUUGGUCACCUGUUUCCUAAUACGUUGCCUAGGUCUUGCUGUCUCCCAUUGGGCCAUUUAAAAUGUUGGACAAAGACCUUUCUAGGUGUCUUCACCUCCCUUUGUUUAGGGUAAUCUUCCUGGAAAAUGUGUUAUCAGCCACAUGCACAGCUCUCAUACCCUCUCCCCACGCCCCACUUCCCGUUCCCCACAUCCUGUUUGCUCUGGGGAAAUUCAGUAACUGCCUGGCCACAUGGUAUUUCUUUCCUAUGAAGAUGAAUCAGAGGCAUGUGUCUUACAUCAUGGAGCUGGUAGUGGAGUUGGACGAGAAAUACACAUCUAUGUGAACCUGCCAGGCUCAAUGCUAAGACAGUAUGUAAAUAAGUGAGUGCUCAGGUGCACAAGGGGGCCAUGUAAAGUUGCUGAGAUUCAAUGUGAGAAAAAACGUCAUAUCAGAUAGUGUUAGCCAGUAGAAGCUUCAUGAAGGAAAGUCUGGAUGGGGGAAUUGUGUGUGUAAUUUAUCUUGUUGGUUAGAAAUAAUUCUGCCAGUUCCCCAUGGGCAUCGAGCUCUAAGUUUGGCAGGUAAAGUGUUUCCUCAUUUUCAAAACAGGGCACCGAAUCACCAAGGCAGGGAUAUAAAGGGUGAAACUUUGUGGUAACAACCCACAGGACAGUAAUGGCUCUAGGCAUUUGGUUUUGCUUCACACUUCAAAUAACCCAACAGUGAGGUUGACUUAUUUAUUCAUGAAAGCAUGCCCCAUUCAACUGCUGCUUGUGCCUGGAAUCCUUGCUGUGGGCGAUCUGGUGAGAACAGUGAUGGGGAGAUGGCGGGAAGGAGCAGUCCCCGCAGGAGGAUGGUGGGUCCACAGAUCAGGGAUGUAGGGCUGUUGGGCUCAUUGCCAUAUAUCUGGAGUAUUGGAACUGGUGUGCCAUAGAGUUGGAGCUCAAUACAUAUUCUCUGAGUAAAUGGGCAAAAGAAAUAUUUGAGGUAUGCCUGUUGCCCUGAAUUUGGUGUUAGGCAUACAAGAAGAGUAGUCUAAUGACAAAGUGGACAUAAAAGAAGUGAGAAUAAUUUAAUGGGGGCUGUGAUAGGUGUUGAGGUGGGCAUAGGUGAGAGAGCCAGGAAGGCUUCAGAGAUGGCAUUGUAUGAGCUUCGUCUUUAAGGAUGGGUGGGUUAUAUCAGGUGUACCAGGGCAAUGAGGACAGGGAAGGGCGUGAUCAGCAAGAGGAGUAGCAAAAGCCUGGUGGGGUUAAGGAACAAGGUGGAUUUGGGGACUACUUACAAGCCCCCAUGAUGACAGUGGAAGGCUCAUGAGAUGGGUAAUUGGUACACAUGCCCCAAACUCCUUCACAGGUGCUUUAUUGAUGUUCAUCAGGGCAAACUGUGAAGAAAGAGUUGGUAGGAGGGACCUUAUCCAUGCAGCUGGCCAGGUCCCCUCACCCAGCCCCAGGCUCAGCAGGUGACAGAUGUGAUAUUUGGCCAAUGUAUUUUUCAUUGUUUUGUUUUUUUAAAAAAUAUAUUUUUAUUGAUUUCAGAGAGGAAGAUAGAGGGAGAGAUAGAUAUUAAGUACAUCUAGCAUAAUUCUUCCAGCUGGUAGUAAUUGACAUGUUCUGCUUUAAAUAACAGCUACCAUUUAUCAAGGAACAUGGUUCAUGUGCCACACAUUGUUCUAAGGGCUUCACCUCCAAUCUUUGGUAUGGAUUUCUUACAAUAGUCCUGUGAGCUAGGUACCUGUAUCAUCCUUACCCCUGUUGCUUUGUGGCAAAGACCUUCUCUGUUUUCUCCCAUGCCUAGAAAGGUGCCUGGCCCAUCUGGUGUGGCUUGGUGGGUGGUUGAGCGUCAACCCAUGAACCAGGAGGUCAGGGUUCGAUUCCUGGUCAGGGCAAAUGCCUGGGUUGCGGGCUCAAUCCCCCAUGGAGAGCGUGCAGGAGGCAGCUGAUUAAUGAAUCUCUCUCAUCAUUGAGGUUUCUCUCUGUCCCUCUCAUUUCCUCUCUCUGAAAUCAAUAAAAAUAUAUUAAAAGAUAAAUAAAAAGGUGCCUGGCACAUCUGAAGUGCUGGGUUUUGAAUGGAUUCAUCGAGUGCAGACAUAGUUUGACCACAUCACAUCACACUGGUUCUGAGACUAGGACUGGACUUUUCACCCUGUACAUGUCAGCUGCCUAAUGCCUGGAGGAGGAAAUCCCAGUGGUCUUCAGACUUGAAGAUUCGUGGUUACUGUUCAAGUUGUGGAACGCCCUACACAAACACUUCUGGUCAUUUUCUACAAUGUUGUGGAUAAGAAAAUUUACAAUAAAUUUGAUAUUCUUUAGAAAUGGCCUUGCAUUUCAGACAUUUGUGACAAGAUAUGUGUAUACUUCUAAUUUGUGUAUGGAUAAUGCUUGCUUUGCAGGAAGACGGGGUGCCUUGCAAUAACCUGACCCCAACACUGACAGAUUGGGGAACUUGUGGCUUAGAACAUGAACUUCCUCUCUGGGAGUCUGGGUGAGGCCCGGGCCUGGGCUGACCUGAGGGUUGGAAAUUUAGUGGCUCAGCUCAGAGACCUCCUGUGAACAACUGUUUACUGCUUCCUGUUAAACAAGGACAGUUCUUUCCUUUCACAUAUUUUCUAAGGCUUUGUCCUCCAUACUGUGAGAAACAAGGAAGUUCUUUGCCCCAGGGAGCUUGUAGUCUGCUGGAGGAGACCAAACUCAUGGAAAUGGGGCAGAAUGUGGCAAGUGCCUUCAUAGAAGCUGCAGGAGCUUAGAGGAGAGAAGAGAUUGGCUUUGGGUGCCCCCCUCACACAUUUAUCUGUGGCCCUUCGAUCUGGACAAACACCACUAUUUUCUGCCUCAUUCCAGCUGCAGCGUGGGUGUUCUCGAUGGAUGCCAAAAGGAAAUGUCCACUGAUAACGCUGAACAUGGCACUGGCCCCUUAGACUUGCAGUCCAGUCUAUGGAAGCAAGGCAAAAACACAGACUAAGAGAAGAGGGUAAUGAAGGACUGAUGUGUGAUAUAAUCAGUAACCCAACAAAUGUGCCUAGCAUUUUCUCCCACCCUUAUCUCCCAAGAUAACCAAAAGAUGGCUUCAUAAAACAGUUUCCUGCAAUCUCCCAUCACUUUAAUUACUCUUGGGAUUCCCAUCUCCGGGGAACAAAGACACUUGUAGGGAGAAAGAGUUGCUGCAGAGUUUGGCAUGAGUCUGUAGUUUUAAGGUCUGGUAAUUAGACCAGCAGGGUGUUUUUUUGUUGUUGUUGUUGUUGUUUUUUUAACUAUGGAGCAAUUUGUUAAAAAUAAUGUUAAAAAAAAUACACCAAAAUCUGGUUACUUGCCAUAAUGGGAAGGAAGGAGGUUUCAGAGGUCAGACAUUGGGUCUUCCUACUUCUCAUUUGAGAUUUUUAUGAGCUAGAGAGCUUCUUCAUUAAAUCGCAGUUUCAGCGUGGCAGGGCUCUAUCCUGUGCUGCCAUAGAAUUUUUGAAAUCCAGGUACACUUCAGAAUGGGAGUGUGAAGUGGGCGUGCUAAGUGGACGUAGCGGAAGUGCUAUUAGUUGCCUGCCUGCUUUAGUAGUUUUGUUUUGUUUGUGUGUUCAUUUAUUUCUGGAAAAAACCAUCAAGCCUGCACAGUUAGUACCCCAUCUCACCGGCCCAGCCAAAGGAAGUUUUAGACCUUUUCAUCUUUACUCAUAAUUCAUGUGAAUUCUUGGUGCCUGCUGGGGUGUUCAGUGAAAAUAAUUCAUCAGCCAUUUCUUAAAAGAAAAAAAGUCUCAGUUUUCUGGCAUUUUGACUUGACAUAACCAGUUGGCGAUCUUUUCAUUGUACUUCUGGUUCUUAAAAUUGAGAUAGAUGAUAGGCUUAACCUUGGAGUAAAAAAAAAAAAAAAUAGCCAAUAAAUUAUCUGGGCAUAUCUAGCCCAACAUACAUUUUAAAAAAUAUAUACUUUCACUGUUCAGAAUUAGAUGAUGCCCAUUUAAAACUUAUGAAACCUUUAUUUCUAGAAUGAAGGAAUACAUCUUUUUUUU